GAUGAAGGUUUUCGGAUCGUAAAGCUCUGUUGUUAGGGAAGAACAAGUACCGUUCGAAUAGGGCGGUACCUUGACGGUACCUAACCAGAAAGCCACGGCUAACUACGUGCCAGCAGCCGCGGUAAUACGUAGGUGGCAAGCGUUGUCCGGAAUUAUUGGGCGUAAAGGGCUCGCAGGCGGUUUCUUAAGUCUGAUGUGAAAGCCCCCGGCUCAACCGGGGAGGGUCAUUGGAAACUGGGGAACUUGAGUGCAGAAGAGGAGAGUGGAAUUCCACGUGUAGCGGUGAAAUGCGUAGAGAUGUGGAGGAACACCAGUGGCGAAGGCGACUCUCUGGUCUGUAACUGACGCUGAGGAGCGAAAGCGUGGGGAGCGAACAGGAUUAGAUACCCUGGUAGUCCACGCCGUAAACGAUGAGUGCUAAGUGUUAGGGGGUUUCCGCCCCUUAGUGCUGCAGCUAACGCAUUAAGCACUCCGCCUGGGGAGUACGGUCGCAAGACUGAAACUCAAAGGAAUUGACGGGGGCCCGCACAAGCGGUGGAGCAUGUGGUUUAAUUCGAAGCAACGCGAAGAACCUUACCAGGUCUUGACAUCCUCUGACAAUCCUAGAGAUAGGACGUCCCCUUCGGGGGCAGAGUGACAGGUGGUGCAUGGUUGUCGUCAGCUCGUGUCGUGAGAUGUUGGGUUAAGUCCCGCAACGAGCGC
RNAcentral lists this ribosomal RNA (702 nucleotides) under Bacillus subtilis. RNAcentral describes it as "bacterial SSU rRNA". It matches the Rfam family "Bacterial small subunit ribosomal RNA", at positions 407 to 1099 of the family's 1533-position model. The record is from RNAcentral. Lineage: Bacteria; Bacillati; Bacillota; Bacilli; Caryophanales; Bacillaceae.